RNAcentral lists this transfer RNA (76 nucleotides) under Candidatus Zambryskibacteria bacterium RIFCSPLOWO2_01_FULL_45_43. Its description in RNAcentral is "tRNA-Lys". It matches the Rfam family "tRNA". From Rfam's summary of the family: Transfer RNA (tRNA) molecules are approximately 80 nucleotides in length. The record is from RNAcentral. Lineage: Bacteria; Candidatus Zambryskiibacteriota.
GCGUCCAUAGCUCAGCUGGUAGAGCAGAUCCCUCUUAAGGAUAAGGUCCCAGGUUCGAUCCCUGGUGGACGCACCA